CCAGACUCCUACGGGAGGCAGCAGUGAGGAAUAUUGGUCAAUGGGCGGGAGCCUGAACCAGCCAAGUCGCGUGAGGGAAGACGGUCCUAUGGAUUGUAAACCUCUUUAGGCGGGGAGCAAUGCCGGGCACGCGUGUCCGGAGGGAGAGUACCCGCAGAAUAAGCAUCGGCUAACUACGUGCCAGCAGCCGCGGUAAUACGUAGGGGGCAAGCGUUAUCCGGAUUUACUGGGUGUAAAGGGAGCGUAGACGGCAGUGCAAGUCCGGAGUGAAAGCCCGGGGCUCAACCCUGGGACUGCUCUGGAAACUGUAAAGCUGGAGUGCGGGAGGGGCAGGCGGAAUUCCUGGUGUAGCGGUGAAAUGCGUAGAUAUCAGGAGGAACACCGGCGGCGAAGGCGGCCUGCUGGACCGUAACUGACGUUGAGGCUCGAAAGCGUGGGGAGCAAACAGGAUUAGAUACCCCUGUAU
RNAcentral lists this ribosomal RNA (466 nucleotides) under uncultured bacterium. Its description in RNAcentral is "bacterial SSU rRNA". It matches the Rfam family "Bacterial small subunit ribosomal RNA", at positions 331 to 793 of the family's 1533-position model. The record is from RNAcentral.